AGUGAACGCUGGCGGUAGGCCUAACACAUGCAAGUCGAACGGCAGCACAGUAAGAGCUUGCUCUUACGGGUGGCGAGUGGCGGACGGGUGAGGAAUACAUCGGAAUCUACUUUUUCGUGGGGGAUAACGUAGGGAAACUUACGCUAAUACCGCAUACGACCUACGGGUGAAAGAAGGGGAUCUUCGGACCUUGCGCGAUUGAAUGAGCCGAUGUCGGAUUAGCUAGUUGGCGGGGUAAAGGCCCACCAAGGCGACGAUCCGUAGCUGGUCUGAGAGGAUGAUCAGCCACACUGGAACUGAGACACGGUCCAGACUCCUACGGGAGGCAGCAGUGGGGAAUAUUUGACAAUGGGCGCAAGCCUGAUCCAGCCAUACCGCGUGGGUGAAGCAGACCUUCGGGUUGUAAAGCCCUUUUGUUGGGAAAGAAAAGCAGCAGGUUAAUACCCCGCUGUUCUGACGGUACCCAAAGAAUAAGCACCGGCUAACUUCGUG
Molecule: ribosomal RNA, 492 nt
Filed under: uncultured bacterium
Lineage: Bacteria
Description: partial 16S ribosomal RNA
Rfam family: Bacterial small subunit ribosomal RNA
Source: RNAcentral